This is a long non-coding RNA of Mytilus californianus (California mussel), 2873 nucleotides long. RefSeq lists it as uncharacterized. The transcript has 2 exons. The record is from RefSeq and is a predicted model, not a curated record. NCBI's taxonomy places the organism in Eukaryota, Metazoa, Mollusca, Bivalvia, Mytilida, Mytilidae.
GGUAGGAGGUGUUUUUAGUCUUUUUUAAUUAAUCAAAAUGUAAUUGUAGCUUUAAUAACUAAAUAACUAAAUAAUUUGUAUUUCUAUAUCAACCAUUCGGUUGCCAUAGCAAUCUGCAAUCUAAAUAAUAAUGACAUAUACAUUUUACUUUCUCUUAUUGAAGACUACAUCAACACUAAGAAAGUGAAUACCAAGAUUUAUAAUAAACCAGGAAGGAGCUGUGUAUUAUGAAGUAUGCUUUCUAAUGUUCAUCUAAUUAUCUUAUUGUGAAUACAUUUUGUACAUGUAUCCUGACAAAGUGAUUAAAUGAAAGAUCUGUUAAUGCAGAGUAAGAUUAAAUAGCAUGAUCAAUAGUAUUAGGGCAUGUAGGUGAAGGGAUAUGAAUAAUAUAAAUAACUUUCAACAACACAUACAUCUUGUUUAUGUAGUUCUAAGACAGACAUAGUGUCCUAAGUCAGGAGUCUGUUGUUCAGUGGUUGUCGUUUGUUGGUGUGGUUCAUUAGUGUUUCUCGUUUUUUACAUAGAUUAAUUAGACCGUUGGUUUUCCUGUUUGAAUUUUACACUAGUCAUUUUGGGGACCUUUAUAGCUUGCUGUUCGGUGUGAGCCAAGGCUCCAUGUUGAAGGCCGUACUUUGACCUAUAAUUGUUUACUUUUUACACAUUGUGACUUGGUUGGAUAGUUGUCUCAUUGGCACUCAUACCCCAUCUUCUUAUUUAUAUAGAUGAAAAAAAAGAAUGAACAUGGGAUGAGACACUUUUAAAUAAAUUUUGGGUCCUAAUGGGCAGGCAUAACUUGCUUGAUUUACAUGUACUGGUAUUUCUCUUAUGGUUGUGGGCUGUUAUCUAUUUUUUGCAUGAAUAGAUAUGUCUAUCACACUGCACGGAGUGUGAUACACAAAAAGAGAUACGAAAAUCUGCGUUAAUUUGUUUGGCUUAUCCAGCAUCAUAAGACGAUAAUACGGCAUUUCCAUUGGCUGUUUGUUAGGUCAUUGGUGACUUUCAAAGGUUAAGACGAUGUACAUUUCGUUCAUGGCAACGGACAUGUGUGUUUUCUUCAAUAAUAUACAAAACACUCACACUUUUCACCUAUCAAUUUUCUUUUUGUCAAAUUUUAUUUCAUUCUGAAGCAUACAAAAUGUCGUAAAAUGUCUGAUGUUAAAGUUCUACACCGGAAAAGGACACAUGGCGUCAUACUGGUAUGUGCAAAAGAGUAGAUCAAAGAUUCGCGGAAUUUUUAAUUAAACACAAAGAGAGUGUUGACCAUAAGAGAAAUAGGUUUAACAGCGUGGUGAUGAGUCACAUUGGUUGAUAGUAAUAACGAUGAAAGGAGGACAGGAUUGUGGCUACAACAAAUGGAACAUAUCCAUCAUGUCCAUAGUCAUUUUUAAAACAGAUAUUCUUUCAUGUUCUAUCAGAGUCAUAUGUAUGUCUCUGGUUCCAUCAAUUCAUGAUCAUCAGAUGGUGUUCUUUAAACUAAACUGUCAACUCGUCUUUACUUGUUUUGCCAUGGUGCUGUCCGUUUUCUUCGUCUUUUGGGCUUUGAUUGUUCCCUUGCUGUCAAUUUUCGCAACAUUUUGAAACUGCUUGAAAUGUGAUUGUCUUUUACUUUUAAAAUUCUUGCUCCCGGAUUCCCAAAAAUACAAACUUCAAAUUUUAGUCAUUUGUGCAUUACAUCUACUUUUAGUGAAAAGGUAUGAGUAUUUUUUUAACUAAAUUAUAAGAUUGUAUUAUGCACCUAUUCUGUUUUAGAGCUCCUGUUUACUAGCCUUGUUCGUUUAAUUAACUAUUUAUUCUUUGGUUUGUCUGUAUGCACGGAGUUGUAUUGUGACAGAUAUUUGACAUAAAUUUUUGAUAAAGAUGACGUUACAAUUAUUCCUUCGAUUUUAUGUUUAUCACGUUUUAUAUUAUUGUAAUAGAAAAAUGCAAUUUAUUUUAUUUCAUAUAGUUUAUUAGUUAAUGUAUGUAAGUUCUACUCUGUAAACUAUUUUAUAUAAAAUUAUUGUUUAACUGUUCUAUACAUUUUCAAAGCGUAGGAUUUUUCAAAUAUGUCAAAUAAAUACUUUAACAAACUAUUGAACGUAUCUGUGCAAUAAAACUUCAGCUGUGGCCAAAUGGACCUUCGAUUAUAUGUCCAGCAAAGUUUAAUAAAACAUCUUAAAAGUUCAGACAACGGUCAACCCACGUCAGCAACUUUAUUUGUGUUAAGCUAUAAAGCACAAACUAGUUCCAUAGUUACUUUUGAUUAAGAUCUAAAUUAAUAUUUAUAAUGUUAUUUUAUACUAUGUUAUAUGUAUUUACGUUGUAAUUGUUUUAUAUUAUAGUUAGGGAAAUGUUAAUAAAUAUAUUCGAAACAUAGGUUGGCAAUUUUAGAAUAAGAAAUUGAAGAGAUGAAAGAAAAACCAGUUUUAUGUGACGUGUAAUUUCGACCUAAUCUUAGACCAUAACUAUAUUUGAGCAUUCUAAAUUUUAUUGAUAACUCAUAAAUCAUAAAUUCUUUUGUUGGUUAUAGUCUGUUAAGGGUUACUAGGACAUUCAAAACUUAGUAUAUAAACUGAUCAAGCCGCUAUACUAUUAAUAGCGAGUUUCUUGAUAUUCUAGGUGAGUCUCUUGGUUUUGAAAAUAAUUUAGAUUUAAAAUUAUUUUUCUUUUAAUUUUAUUUUGAAAAAAUAAAUAAAGUUUAUAAGUAACUAAUAUUUUAAUUCAGAGGUUUAUUUUAACAGUAAUUAUCAUUGUUAUUAUUUGGUAUUUAACUUGAAUUGUUUGUAGUAUUUUAUCAUUGUUUUCAACUUAUUUUGACUUCAAAAUGUGUACUUUGAAAUUAGAUUGUAAUUAUUUCAAUGUUUUCUUUAUUAAAUUAAUAGCGAGUUUCUUGA